RNAcentral lists this ribosomal RNA (371 nucleotides) under uncultured organism. Its description in RNAcentral is "bacterial SSU rRNA". It matches the Rfam family "Bacterial small subunit ribosomal RNA", at positions 526 to 896 of the family's 1533-position model. The record is from RNAcentral.
CGGAGGGAGCUAGCGUUGUUCGGAAUUACUGCGCGUAAAGCGUACGUAGGCGGUUAUUCAAGUCAGAGGUGAAAGCCCGGGGCUCAACCCCGGAACGGCCUUUGAAACUAGAUAGCUAGAAUCUUGGAGAGGUCAGUGGAAUUCCGAGUGUAGAGGUGAAAUUCGUAGAUAUUCGGAAGAACACCAGUGGCGAAGGCGACUGACUGGACAAGUAUUGACGCUGAGGUACGAAAGCGUGGGGAGCAAACAGGAUUAGAUACCCUGGUAGUCCACGCCGUAAACGAUGAUAACUAGCUGUCCGGGCACUUGGUGCUUGGGUGGCGCAGCUAACGCAUUAAGUUAUCCGCCUGGGGAGUACGGUCGCAAGAUUA